This 550-nucleotide ribosomal RNA is filed under the name Escherichia coli. RNAcentral's name for it is "partial 23S ribosomal RNA". It matches the Rfam family "Bacterial large subunit ribosomal RNA", at positions 333 to 888 of the family's 2925-position model. Lineage: Bacteria; Pseudomonadati; Pseudomonadota; Gammaproteobacteria; Enterobacterales; Enterobacteriaceae. The record is from RNAcentral.
UGGAAGCGUCUGGAAAGGCGCGCGAUACAGGGUGACAGCCCCGUACACAAAAAUGCACAUGCUGUGAGCUCGAUGAGUAGGGCGGGACACGUGGUAUCCUGUCUGAAUAUGGGGGGACCAUCCUCCAAGGCUAAAUACUCCUGACUGACCGAUAGUGAACCAGUACCGUGAGGGAAAGGCGAAAAGAACCCCGGCGAGGGGAGUGAAAAAGAACCUGAAACCGUGUACGUACAAGCAGUGGGAGCCUCUUUUAUGGGGUGACUGCGUACCUUUUGUAUAAUGGGUCAGCGACUUAUAUUCUGUAGCAAGGUUAACCGAAUAGGGGAGCCGAAGGGAAACCGAGUCUUAACUGGGCGUUAAGUUGCAGGGUAUAGACCCGAAACCCGGUGAUCUAGCCAUGGGCAGGUUGAAGGUUGGGUAACACUAACUGGAGGACCGAACCGACUAAUGUUGAAAAAUUAGCGGAUGACUUGUGGCUGGGGGUGAAAGGCCAAUCAAACCGGGAGAUAGCUGGUUCUCCCCGAAAGCUAUUUAGGUAGCGCCUCGUGAA